This 240-nucleotide unclassified non-coding RNA is filed under the name soil metagenome. RNAcentral describes it as "partial contains 5.8S ribosomal RNA, internal transcribed spacer 2, and large subunit ribosomal RNA". The record is from RNAcentral.
AACCUAGCACACCUGCGGUGUGUACCUGCGGAGGGAUCAUUACCGAGUUUACAAACUCCCAACCCUUUGUGAACCUUACCAUAUUGUUGCUUCGGCGGGACCGCCCCGGCGCCUUCGGGCCCGGAACCAGGCGCCCGCCGGAGGCCCCAAACUCUUAUGUCUUUAGUGGUUUUCUCCUCUGAGUGACACAUAAACAAAUAAAUAAAAACUUUUAGCAACGGAUCUCAGAUCGGAAGAGCA